RNAcentral lists this transfer RNA (73 nucleotides) under Prototheca stagnorum. Its description in RNAcentral is "tRNA-Phe". It matches the Rfam family "tRNA". From Rfam's summary of the family: Transfer RNA (tRNA) molecules are approximately 80 nucleotides in length. Their secondary structure includes four short double-helical elements and three loops (D, anti-codon, and T loops). The record is from RNAcentral. Lineage: Eukaryota; Viridiplantae; Chlorophyta; Trebouxiophyceae; Chlorellales; Chlorellaceae. RNAcentral also lists the same sequence under 1 other name.
GCUGAGAUAGCUCAGUUGGUAGAGCAAAAGACUGAAAAUCUUUGUGUCACCAGUUCAAUCCUGGUUCUUAGCA